AUACGGAGGGGGCCAGCGUUGUUCGGAAUUAUUGGGCGUAAAGGGCGCGCAGGCGGUCGCGCAAGUCGGUUGUGAAAUCCCCUGGCUUACCCAGGGAACUGCAUCCGAUACUGCGUGACUUGAGUCCGGGAGAGGAGAGUGGAAUUCCCAGUGUAGCGGUGGAAUGCGUAGAUAUCGGGAAGAACACCAGUGGCGAAGGCGGUCUGCUGGGCCGUUGCUGACGCUGAGGCGCGACAGCGUGGGGAGCAAACAGGAUUAGAAACCCCAGUAGUCC
This 274-nucleotide ribosomal RNA is filed under the name uncultured bacterium. RNAcentral's name for it is "partial 16S ribosomal RNA". It matches the Rfam family "Bacterial small subunit ribosomal RNA", at positions 523 to 796 of the family's 1533-position model. The record is from RNAcentral.